AGUGAACGCUGGCGGCGUGCCUAAUACAUGCCAGUCGAACGGAGAUUAGGUAGCUUGCUAUUUAAUCUUAGUGGCGCACGGGUGAGUAAUAUAUAGCUAACUUGCCCAUUACUAAGGGACAACAGUUGGAAACGACUGCUAAUACCUUAUACUCCGUAUCUAUAUAAGUAGAUACGGGAAAGUUUUUCGGUAAUGGAUAGGGCUAUAUCGUAUCAGCUAGUUGGUAAGGUAAUGGCUUACCAAGGCUAUGACGCGUAACUGGUCUGAGAGGAUGAUCAGUCACACUGGAACUGAGACACGGUCCAGACUCCUACGGGAGGCAGCAGUAGGGAAUAUUGCUCAAUGGGGGAAACCCUGAAGCAGCAACGCCGCGUGGAGGAUGACACUUUUCGGAGCGUAAACUCCUUUUCUUGGGAAAGAAUUAUGACGGUACCCAAGGAAUAAGCACCGGCUAACUCCGUG
This 462-nucleotide ribosomal RNA is filed under the name uncultured bacterium. RNAcentral describes it as "partial 16S ribosomal RNA". It matches the Rfam family "Bacterial small subunit ribosomal RNA", at positions 29 to 507 of the family's 1533-position model. The record is from RNAcentral.